RNAcentral lists this long non-coding RNA (603 nucleotides) under Gallus gallus (chicken). The record is from RNAcentral. Lineage: Eukaryota; Metazoa; Chordata; Aves; Galliformes; Phasianidae.
CUGCAGGCCUGCAUGCAUAAUCUCACACCCCCUCCCAGGCAAAGGCAUUUGUAUCAAAGGAUGGGUGCCCCAAUCGCUGUCCCUGGAUGGCUGUGGGCGUCUGUGCUGGGGAAGGUGAGGGGGGCACCUAUGAGGGCUGUGCCGCGGCCCCUCCGCCGCUUUCGCCUUUUUCCCCCCUCUGCGUGGCGCGCGCUGCGCUGCUGAUUGGCUGGGCCUUCUCCUCAGGGCGGCGGGCGCCAUUUUGGCCGCCUGCAGCCUCGUGGUGGGGUGGAUUUGUUCUUUUCGCUCUGCCCGUUUUCCCCGACGAGAGAGCGGCUGCUGGGGACAGUGCUUCGCCUGAGCGCCGCGGGACGCAGCUGUGAGGCGUAACGUGCCAUUGCCAUGGAACUGACUGCCUGCAGAGAGAUCUUCAGACAAGCUGUCUGCAUGCCCUUUUCAGUAGUGCUCAGAAUUCCUCUUCCUAGAGGCCUAUCCAGGUAGGACCAACUCUGGAAGCAAAACACACUGACAGCAGUUGCUCUCAUCUUUCCACCCACUGAAGCCAAUUCUAUCUGGCUUUGAGAAGCAGCUGCUUUUCCUUCCCUUUCCUCCCUCUACCCCUAG